Penaeus indicus is the source of this 536-nucleotide long non-coding RNA. RefSeq lists it as uncharacterized. The transcript is spliced from 3 exons. NCBI's taxonomy places the organism in Eukaryota, Metazoa, Arthropoda, Malacostraca, Decapoda, Penaeidae. The record is from RefSeq and is a predicted model, not a curated record.
GAGCACAACCACACAGGAAGACUACACUGAACACCCAUCACGACUAUAUAGUAGAUUAGUCAAAUAUCAAGUCCUGAAAACUGAACGUUCAAAUCAUGUUCCGGAGGUUCACUGCUCAUUUUCGUCUCGUCUUCGUCUUCGUGAUCUGUUCAGUUAUUGGUAUGGCAACAGGAGGUCGUCACCUUUGUUUCAAGGAGCCAUUCAAUUGCCAUAGAAACCCCCAUACCCCUUGCUGUCACCCCCCUGCCCCCACCCCUGAGCUUGUCACAGAACCGCCUCCUCUCCCUCUCGACUUCCCGAAAGCUACAUUUUCAAUUUAAUCGCAUUCCGAAAAUGUUUACCUACCAUGGCAAAACUCACACAUGUCACUACAUUAAUAAAAACAAAGAGUAGCAGAUAAAACAAUCAUGAAAAGAGAAUCCACAUGUUUGUACUGCAUAACAGGAAUAUUAUGAGAAGAGGAAUAAAGAGUUACCCAUACAUUUUUAUUUUUUUUUUAUUUUGAAAUUAGACAAUAAAGUAUUGUUUUCACUCGG